AGCUGUUUUUUCCUGUAACUGAAGCAAGAGACAGACUCUUCUGGUCCCAUCUUAGAAUUAAAAUUGUAAUGCAGUCCCUAUUUGCAGCUGAUUCUGGAAAAAAAUAAAUUUUUGAACAUGGGGUUGCAGUGGAGACUUUGGGAAAUUUUUCCCACCAAAAACAGAAGGAUGAAGAAGCCCACUGGAUGCUUCCUGAAAUAGGAUUUGGCUUGAUACUGGUAGCUGAUAAAAAUUAAAUCUCUACCCAUGGAAGACUACAAGACUAUGAAACCUAAAGAUUUCAUGAAACUAGUGGAAGUGAUAUUGAAGAAUUGCAAAGCCAAUUGCAAUGAAGUGACGGUAUUUGCAAGCAUGAUGGCAUGAUUGGUGCUUCAGAGAAAAUGGAAGAACCCAGGACAUAAAGUAUGAGAGGAAGUAUAAACACCCAGUGGUAUCAACGGCCUGGAUGGAAUCCCAAGGAGAACAAAGAACAGAGAUUUCUGGAAUGAUGGGAGAUGCUGAUCAGAGAGUGAACUACAAAAGAUGAAAUUACAGCAAGGACACAGAAUAAUGAUGUGUGAAAAACUGAAAGGAGCUAAAAUCUUCAUAAAUAUCAACAAUAUCAUGGUGACUAAAUCAAUAAUGGAUGUAGAGAUCCACCUGAGAUAUUGUCAAGUAAGAGAGAAAGAGCCAAUCAAUCAUUAUUGAAAGUAGAAGUGAGAAAACAGCAACACCAUAAGGUGAUGAUCAUCCAUUCAAGGCAUUUAAUUAUUUGAUAUAAUAUUUUUGAUCUGUUAUAGUCCAGAUGUGAAAAAAAUCAGUUUCUUAUUCCCAAGAGAGUGCAGAACUUAUUUGCCAAUAACAAACCUGCCAAAUUUCUGCCUCAGAGUUCUUGCCAUUUUCUUUUUCUUGGAGAGUGUCCUAUCUCCUCUGCAAUUCUGUAUCAUUCAACUUGACAAUAU
Canis lupus familiaris (dog) is the source of this 941-nucleotide long non-coding RNA. RefSeq lists it as uncharacterized. NCBI's taxonomy places the organism in Eukaryota, Metazoa, Chordata, Mammalia, Carnivora, Canidae. The record is from RefSeq and is a predicted model, not a curated record. The transcript has 6 exons.